GACGAACGCUGGCGGCGUGCUUAACACAUGCAAGUCGAACGGAAAGGCCCUGCUUUUGUGGGGUGCUCGAGUGGCGAACGGGUGAGUAACACGUGAGUAACCUGCCCUUGACUUUGGGAUACCCUCAGGAAACUGGGGCUAAUACCGGAUAGGAGCUCCUGCUGCAUGGUGGGGGUUGGAAAGUUUCGGCGGUUGGGGAUGGACUCGCGGCUUAUCAGCUUGUUGGUGGGGUAGUGGCUUACCAAGGCUUUGACGGGUAGCCGGCCUGAGAGGGUGACCGGCCACAUUGGGACUGAGAUACGGCCCAGACUCCUACGGGAGGCAGCAGUGGGGAAUAUUGCACAAUGGGCGGAAGCCUGAUGCAGCAACGCCGCGUGCGGGAUGACGGCCUUCGGGUUGUAAACCGCUUUCGCCUGUGACGAAGCGUGAGUGACGGUAAUGGGUAAAGAAGCACCGGCUAACUACGUG
This 468-nucleotide ribosomal RNA is filed under the name uncultured bacterium. RNAcentral describes it as "partial 16S ribosomal RNA". It matches the Rfam family "Bacterial small subunit ribosomal RNA", at positions 28 to 507 of the family's 1533-position model. The record is from RNAcentral.